Molecule: long non-coding RNA, 287 nt
Filed under: Gossypium raimondii (Peruvian cotton)
Lineage: Eukaryota; Viridiplantae; Streptophyta; Magnoliopsida; Malvales; Malvaceae
Description: long non-coding RNA (GRAI_LNC006000)
Source: RNAcentral
GACUGAAAGCUUGGGUUUGGGAGGUUGCUAAUUUGGGUUUUAGAUCUGGGGUUCAUUAUAUUUGCGAUGAAGUUAGGGUUUUAAUUUUGGGUUUUGAUGAAAUUGUAAUCAAGAAAGGGAUUUUGGGUUUGGGUUUUAUUGAUUGUUAGGCUAAAAAUUAGGGUUUUGAUGAAUUUUGUUUAGUUUUAUGAAUUUUUUAUGAUAUGGGUUUCUUUAAUUUUAGGGUAAAUUUAAGGUUUUUAUCUACGGGUACCUUAAAUUUAUGAAGAUAAUAAAGAGGGUUCAUU